GUGGAAUCGCAUCGCAGUUGACUGUUAAUCAAUUGGUCGUAGGUUCGAUCCCUAC
Molecule: transfer RNA, 55 nt
Filed under: Paracoccus pantotrophus
Lineage: Bacteria; Pseudomonadati; Pseudomonadota; Alphaproteobacteria; Rhodobacterales; Paracoccaceae
Description: tRNA-Asn
Rfam family: tRNA
About the family: Transfer RNA (tRNA) molecules are approximately 80 nucleotides in length.
Source: RNAcentral